UGAGAUCAGUUGUUACUUUAUAUACACAUGCAAGUCUCCGCACUCCUGUGAAAAUGCCCUUAAAUCCCUAUAAUGGAUAAGGAGCUGGUAUCAGGCACAAAAAUUAGCCCAAAACACCUAGCUACGCCACACCCACACGGGAACUCAGCAGUGAUUAACAUUGAAAAUAAGCGCCAGCCUGAAUCAGUUAAAGUUUAGAGAGCCGGCAAAUCUGGUGCCAGCCGCCGCGGUUACACCACGUGGCUCAAACUGAUCUCUUCCGGCGUAAAGCGUGAUUAAAGUUAACCUAUAACUGCAAUUAAACUAGAACUAAGCCGUGACACGCUUACUCCCAAGAAAACCACUAACGAAAGUCAUUGCAACCUUAAUAACU
This 373-nucleotide ribosomal RNA is filed under the name Dendropsophus minusculus (Rivero's tiny treefrog). RNAcentral's name for it is "partial 12S ribosomal RNA". The record is from RNAcentral. Lineage: Eukaryota; Metazoa; Chordata; Amphibia; Anura; Hylidae.